Molecule: ribosomal RNA, 375 nt
Filed under: uncultured organism
Description: partial 16S ribosomal RNA
Rfam family: Bacterial small subunit ribosomal RNA
Source: RNAcentral
GUAGGUGGCAAGCGUUGUCCGGAAUUAUUGGGCGUAAAGCGCGCGCAGGUGGGUUCUUUAAGUCUGAUGUGAAAGACCCCCGGGCUCAACCGGGGAGGGUCAUUGGAAACUGGGGAACUUGAGUGCAGGAGAGGAAAGUGGAAUUCCACGUGUAGCGGUGAAAUGCGUAGAUAUGUGGAGGAACACCAGUGGCGAAGGCGACUUUCUGGCCUGUAACUGACACUGAGGCGCGAAAGCGUGGGGAGCAAACAGGAUUAGAUACCCUGGUAGUCCACGCCGUAAACGAUGAGUGCUAAGUGUUGGGGGGGUUUCCGCCCCUCAGUGCUGCAGCUAACGCAUUAAGCACUCCGCCUGGGGAGUACGGUCGCAAGACUG